Molecule: signal recognition particle RNA, 286 nt
Filed under: Cebus imitator (Panamanian white-faced capuchin)
Lineage: Eukaryota; Metazoa; Chordata; Mammalia; Primates; Cebidae
Description: Metazoan signal recognition particle RNA (ENSCCAG00000004368.1)
Rfam family: Metazoan signal recognition particle RNA
About the family: The signal recognition particle (SRP) is a universally conserved ribonucleoprotein.
Source: RNAcentral
GCCGGGAACGGUGGCGCGGGCCUGUAGUCCCAGCUGUUUGGGAGGCUGAGGCUGGAGGAGCUCUUGAGUCCAGGAGUUCUGGGCUGUAACGCGCUAUGCUGAUCGGGUGUCCGCACUAAGUUCGGCGACCUCCUGCGAGCGGGUGACCACCAGGUUGCCUAAGGAGGGAUGAACCGGCCCAGGUCGGAAAUGGAGCAGGUCAAAACUCCCAUGCUGAUCAGUGGGAUUCGAGCCUGUGAAUAGCCACUGCACUCCAGCCUGGGCAACAUAGCGAGACCCCUUCUCU